Molecule: ribosomal RNA, 1375 nt
Filed under: uncultured bacterium
Lineage: Bacteria
Description: bacterial SSU rRNA
Rfam family: Bacterial small subunit ribosomal RNA
Source: RNAcentral
AGAGUUUGAUCCUGGCUCAGGAUGAACGCUGGCGGCGUGCUUAACACAUGCAAGUCGAGCGGAUGAUUGAAUUUCGGUUUGAUCAUUAGCGGCGGACGGGUGAGUAACGCGUGGGUAACCUGCCUCAUACAGGGGGAUAACAGUUGGAAACGGCUGCUAAUACCGCAUAAGCGCACGGUUCCGCAUGGAACAGUGUGAAAAACUCCGGUGGUAUGGGAUGGACCCGCGUCUGAUUAGCUAGUUGGUGAGGUAACGGCCCACCAAGGCGACGAUCAGUAGCCGACCUGAGAGGGUGACCGGCCACAUUGGGACUGAGACACGGCCCAAACUCCUACGGGAGGCAGCAGUGGGGAAUAUUGGGCAAUGGGCGAAAGCCUGACCCAGCAACGCCGCGUGAAGGAAGAAGGCCUUCGGGUUGUAAACUUCUUUUACCAGGGACGAAGGACGUGACGGUACCUGGAGAAAAAGCAACGGCUAACUACGUGCCAGCAGCCGCGGAAAUACCUAGGUUGCAAGCGUUGUCCGGAUUUACUGGGUGUAAAGGGCGUGUAGGCCGAACUGCAAGUCAGAUGUGAAAUCCCGGGGCUCAACCCUGGAACUGCAUUUGAAACUGUAGCCCUUGAGUAUCGGAGAGGCAAGCGGAAUUCCUAGUGUAGCGGUGAAAUGCGUAGAUAUUAGGAGGAACACCAGUGGCGAAGGCGGCUUGCUGGACGACAACUGACGCUGAGGCGCGAAAGCGUGGGGAGCAAACAGGAUUAGAUACCCUGGUAGUCCACGCUGUAAACGAUGAAUACUAGGUGUGGGAGGACUGACCCCUUCCGUGCCGCAGUUAACACAAUAAGUAUUCCACCUGGGGAGUACGACCGCAAGGUUGAAACUCAAAGGAAUUGACGGGGGCCCGCACAAGCAGUGGAUUAUGUGGUUUAAUUCGACGCAACGCGAAGAACCUUACCAGGACUUGACAUCCAACUAACGAAGUAGAGAUACAUUAGGUGCCCUUCGGGGAAAGUUGAGACAGGUGGUGCAUGGUUGUCGUCAGCUCGUGUCGUGAGAUGUUGGGUUAAGUCCCGCAACGAGCGCAACCCCUAUUGUUAGUUGCUACGAAAGAGCACUCUAGCGAGACUGCCGUUGACAAAACGGAGGAAGGCGGGGACGACGUCAAAUCAUCAUGCCCCUUAUGUCCUGGGCUACACACGUAAUACAAUGGUGGUUAACAGAGGGAAGCAAAGCCGCGAGGUGGAGCAAAUCCCUAAAAGCCAUCUCAGUUCGGAUUGCAGGCUGCAACUCGCCUGCAUGAAGCUGGAAUUGCUAGUAAUCGCGGAUCAGCAUGCCGCGGUGAAUACGUUCCCGGGCCUUGCACUCACCGCCCGUCAAG